Molecule: ribosomal RNA, 240 nt
Filed under: Halalkalibacter oceani
Lineage: Bacteria; Bacillati; Bacillota; Bacilli; Caryophanales; Bacillaceae
Description: Bacterial large subunit ribosomal RNA
Rfam family: Bacterial large subunit ribosomal RNA
Source: Rfam by way of RNAcentral
UGUAGCUUGAUAUUGGAUGUUGGUACAGUUUGUACAGGAUAGGUAGGAGCCAGAGAAGUCGGAGCGCCAGCUUCGAUGGAGGCGUCGGUGGGAUACUACCCUGACUGUGCUGACAUUCUAACCUCGAGCCGUGAUCCGGUUCAGGGACAGUGUCAGGUGGGCAGUUUGACUGGGGCGGUCGCCUCCUAAACAGUAACGGAGGCGCCCAAAGGUUCCCUCAGAAUGGUUGGAAAUCAUUCG